UACAGGGGGUGCAAACGUUGCUCGGAAUUAUUGGGCGUAAAGCGCGCGUAGGCGGCCACUUAAGUCGGAUGUGAAAGCUCCUGGCUCAACUGGGGAAGUGCACCCGAAACUGAAUGGCUUGAAUACAAAAGAGGGUCGCGGAAUUCCCGGUGUAGAGGUGAAAUUCGUAGAUAUCGGGAGGAACACCGGUGGCGAAGGCGGCGACCUGGGUUGAUAUUGACGCUGAGGCGCGAAAGCGUGGGGAGCAAACAGG
This 253-nucleotide ribosomal RNA is filed under the name uncultured bacterium. RNAcentral describes it as "partial 16S ribosomal RNA". It matches the Rfam family "Bacterial small subunit ribosomal RNA", at positions 524 to 776 of the family's 1533-position model. The record is from RNAcentral.